Molecule: long non-coding RNA, 852 nt
Filed under: Equus caballus (horse)
Lineage: Eukaryota; Metazoa; Chordata; Mammalia; Perissodactyla; Equidae
Description: lncRNA (ENSECAG00000054758.1)
Source: RNAcentral
AUAAGAAUGUAGAAUUUUUAUCAAAGUAGCUGUGGUCAGAGGUUGCAGAGUUUGUCUGAUAUGGUAGUUUUCUGUUUCAGUUGGUCUUAACACAGAUGAAGAGAUGAAAAGAGAGACAGUCAAAGAGAAAUGAUGGAGAGAUGAGAUUAUGAUGAGACGGCAAGAAAAACAUGGGGAAUUGCCUAAAACUAAUCCUCUAUUCUUCCAAGCCUGCAACAGCUUCCCUGGAGAUUGAUGAAAUCCUAAAGUGCGAAGACCUUGGAAGCCAGGCCCAGAUCUCUACAGGUGUCAGAAGGAAGGAAGAUUCCAGAGCCAAAGAGGAUGUUUCUGCAAAGCUGUGGGCAUACGAUUAAUCUGCAGGCACAAGGCAGUUCUGUGCCCAUCCCCACCAGCCCUGUGUGCACGAAUGAACCCAGUCUGAGAGCAGAGGCACCGAUUGUGGAGAGCCGGCUGGGUCCGAACCGGGCCUGGGGAACCCCAUAGCUGCCCAUGCCGGCGCGCUGUAUAAAUGAUUUCACACCUCGGUGGCCCAAUCAGUUGGGUGUAUCUCUGCUUAAAAUUCACUGGGAUAAAAUGUUUCCUUCUCUAUAGUCUGGGCAUGUUCUUGGCCCUUCAGGGGGGCCUUUGAAAAAGGCUGGUUUUGUAUUUAAGAGUAAAGUGUUGCUAUCAAGAAUUUUUAAUAUAUUCCCCAGCAAUUGAGAGAUGACACUGGCCUCGGAACGUCCCGAAACAGAGGCCUCUGAAGGGAUUUAGAGGCCUCCCGGAGAGCAGGAAGGUCGAGUUUCAGGCUCUGGGCUGAGGAGAGGCGACUCCAGGAUGCAGAGUGAUGUCAGAGGCAGGGAGGUGCUGCUU